UACAGAGGGUGCGAGCGUUAAUCGGAAUUACUGGGCGUAAAGGGCGCGUAGGUGGUUAAUUAAGUCAGAUGUGAAAUCCCUGGGCUCAACCUAGGAAUUGCAUUUGAAACUGGUUAUCUAGAGUUUGGUAGAGGGAAGUGGAAUUUCCGGUGUAGCGGUGAAAUGCGUAGAUAUCGGAAGGAACAUCAGUGGCGAAGGCGACUUCCUGGCCCAAUACUGACGCUGAGGUGCGAAAGCGUGGGGAGCAAACAGG
RNAcentral lists this ribosomal RNA (253 nucleotides) under uncultured bacterium. RNAcentral describes it as "partial 16S ribosomal RNA". It matches the Rfam family "Bacterial small subunit ribosomal RNA", at positions 524 to 776 of the family's 1533-position model. The record is from RNAcentral.